UGGGGAAUAUUGCACAAUGGGGGAAACCCUGAUGCAGCGACGCCGCGUGAAGGAAGAAGUAUCUCGGUAUGUAAACUUCUAUCAGCAGGGAAGAAAAUGACGGUACCUGACUAAGAAGCCCCGGCUAACUACGUGCCAGCAGCCGCGGUAAUACGUAGGGGGCAAGCGUUAUCCGGAUUUACUGGGUGUAAAGGGAGCGUAGACGGAGCAGCAAGUCUGAUGUGAAAAGGCGGGGGCUCAACCCCGCCAGCACGCUGCAAUUUGGAAAACUGUUGAUCUUGAGUACCGGAGAGGUAAGCGGAAUUCCUAGUGUAGCGGUGAAAUGCGUAGAUAUUAGGAGGAACACCAGUGGCGAAGGCGGCUUACUGGACGGUAAACUGACGUUGAGGCUCGAAAAGCGUGGGGAGCAAAACAGGAUUAGAUACC
RNAcentral lists this ribosomal RNA (426 nucleotides) under uncultured bacterium. RNAcentral's name for it is "bacterial SSU rRNA". It matches the Rfam family "Bacterial small subunit ribosomal RNA", at positions 355 to 786 of the family's 1533-position model. The record is from RNAcentral.